Long non-coding RNA from Equus caballus (horse), 4562 nucleotides. The record is from Ensembl. NCBI's taxonomy places the organism in Eukaryota, Metazoa, Chordata, Mammalia, Perissodactyla, Equidae.
CCAACUUCCUGGCCGUCCCUGGCCAACACAUGGCCUGCUGUGUUCAGUUUCCUGGAGAGCCUCCUGCCCAAGCGUCCCUCAAGGGAGAGAUGGAAUGCUGCCCAGGUUCCCCAGCAGUGGGGUCCUGCCAGCCUUUCUCAGGGCUGCCCUCCAGAUCCUGCCUCUUGCCGCAUCUUGGAUGGAUUUUCCUGGCUGGGGCCCAUCUCUGCACCUGGGACCUCCAUUAUCUCUGCCCAGCAUUUCCAAACCACUCCAAAUUUCUCCAGUGGCAGUCCCCACCCUGCUCCCACAGACACUGACCGGGGCCUCUAGGAGUCCUUUCGGGAGCGUGACGAGGUUCCUUCCUGGAAUCCAUCUGGAGUUCUGCUUCAUUCCUCGACGUUUUCUAAGCACUCGCCCCACCCCACCCUGGUUGGUAGCGUUUGCCAAUUUUUGUGGUGUAAAUACUCCUAGUGUGGCUGAUUUCACGCUGCUGACUUGAUGUCAGUGAAUGCGGAGUCGAGAAGAAAUGCACACAAGGAGCUUGUGAUGAGAGCCCGCUCCAGCUCACCACGGUACAAUUACGUGUCCAUCAUUAGACACACAGUCAGACACACACAGAUGGCAUCACGUGACACCCACACCUUGCCUCUUACAUUGUACUUAACCAACUUCUCAGUAAGAUGAAGCCAAGCACGACCAUGGAACGGAUGUAUCAACCCAUCUGCUCCUCAUGUAAGACUAUAGAUUAGGAGAGUGUCCUCCAGUCGCUGAGAAGUGUAUGGCAGCAAACUGUCAAGAGCCAUCAGUAAACCCCGUGAUGAUUGAUCAGAUUUCCCGGCCAGAGAGAAUUCAGGAAUCCACAAAGCCUGGAGAGAGGAGCCCAGUGAGAGAUGUCAUGUGCAGGCAUGUGGCUGUGAGCUUCGUCGGUCCUCUUCAGAAGUCGCGGACACCCCAGCCCCGACAUCCGCCAAAUUAUUCGCCUUGGUGGCUGCCCAGGCCUCCGUGAGAACAGUGGCAAGGCCUAAGUUCCGUCUCCGGUUCCUCGUCCUUCAGAGGAGGCUGUUUGGCAACGCUUCUCUCAACUAGCCCCUGUAUUGAAGAGGCCGAGCUGUGUGCCCAUCUCAGGUGGGCCCUGGGGUUCUGGAAGCCCUGGUUGUCAGAAGAUAUCCAGGCUGUUGGGGUAGGUGAGGUGCACCCCAGGAGAACCUCUGGAGCUGGUCCCUCCCUCCCUGGUAGGUCAAGCUGCCAGAAGCUCACAGAAGUCUGAGGGUGACUGCAGAAAUGACCUUGAGACACUGCACCAGGAGCUCCCCUUCCACGCUCCCGGACCCUCAUGCGCCUCCUGAAGGAGCCGCGUGGACUUCUUGGGGCCAGCCACUGGCAAGGAGCUUUGCCUGGGAGUGGAGACAACGUUGGCUCCAGAUGUUAGAUGGCUAGGCCUCCUCAAGGCCAGAGCACUUCUGCCACGGGGUUGGUGGGGGAGACAACAGCGCUGUGCUAACAGGAGCCUCCCCCCUCCCCCCCGGACUUGGGUCCAUGCCCUCCCCGGGGGACUGGGCAGGAGGGAGGCAGCUGAGACCUGAGCUGUUGCAGGUGCGAAGUACUCAGCCAAGCGAGCCCAUUUGUCAAAGAAGUUGGACUUAAAAGGAAGGAUACUGACAGGAGAGGGGAUUAAAAGGCAUGGAAGGAUCCAGAAAGAGAGAUUUUCAAGAAAAGAAACACCUGUGUAGAUGUGUGUGUGUGUGCACAUAGGCACACACAGAGGCCCCAGGGAGGGGGCUGUGGAGGGGAGAGAAGCUGGAGAGAGGCGGGUGGCUGUGGGGGAGGCUGCAGGGCCCAGAACACGGCACGGGCAGAAGAGCAGUCUCAGGCGGGACGAAAGACAGUUCUUCUCUUUCCAGAUCUGGACACUGGGUGGGAAAGACAUGGACACGGGUCUGGGAGGACACCCGCCGGCCCCACGUGGCCGCAGUAUGGGAGUGGACGACGGGAGGGUCCAGGGCCUUCACUCUGUCUGCAUCACCUGAGCUGUUUUCCAAUAACGACGUAUUCCUACACUACUUGAGAAAUUGAAAAUAAACACAUUAGGAAGCUGCCGGGUGGCAGAACCACACCACUCGUCUGUCAGUAGCCAUGCUGAGGCGGUGGCUCACACCAAAGAACUAGACGGACUCACAACUAAGAUAUACAACUGUGCACUGGGGGGCUUGGGGGGAAAAAAAAAAGAGGAAGCUUGGCAACAGAUGUUAGCUCAGGGCGAAUCCUUCCCUGCAAAAAACAAAUAAAUAAACACACUAGACCCCAUGAGCAGCACAGACAGUAGGCACUAGAGUUGUCCAGAGACGGGUCAGGCAGGUGUAGGACUCACCGAAGGGGUGGGCUGGGGUGCAAUUUGACCAGGUGAUGAGGGUACCUAGGGGGAAGAGCUGAGGGGGUGAAGGGAAGGCCUGGCAGGUCUUGAAGGUGGCAGGACCCCCAUGGCCAGAGUGAGGCCCCUGUUGGAGAGGAACUGGCAGCUGAGGAGAUGCCGACCAGCUGCUUCAGGGCCUCUGGGAAGCUUGUUUCAAAGCUCGGACUCCACCCCCACCCCCACGCCACACACACAGAUUCUGAGUCAGGAGGCCUGCCCCAGGCUCUGGAAUUCCCAUUUGUUUAAGUUUCCCCAAUGAUUCUGAUGGGUCACCAGGAUUCUGCUGGGGAUGGGGGGAUUGCCAUGUGAGCAGGGCUCCAGGCCUCACACCCCCUCCAACCAGGGCUGCUCAGCACUUAUGUUUUGCAUGGGGGCAGCCAAAAUCCUGCAUCUAUGGCUAAAAAUAAAGUGUGAACACCUCCAGGGCAGAAUGGAAGUGGCUAUGUCACUUUGAAGGAAACUGGGUUGUACUCAGCACGACCAUAGUUCUGACUGGCCACGCAACUGUUGAGACAGCGUGGGCCCCAGGGGAGAAGGGCAGGAGGAGUGGGACGAGAGUGGAAAAGAAAUGGCACGGCCAAGAGACAUUUUAGAAGAAUCAGAGGAAAUGGGGAUGCACAAAGGGUGAUGAGAAAGAUAAGCCCUCGACCCAGAGGGGGAGUUGUCACCAGAGGGUCCUGGGGCAGCCGUAUUUCAGGGAAGGUUCCGAGUUAGGGUAUGACGGGAAAUGGCAGGUGGAACCCUCGGCCAGGGUAAAUUUGCUUUCACGGCCACCUUGAGGAUGCGGCUGUCCUGCAGGAGAGAGGAUGGCUGGGGCGCCCUGGGCCACACUAGGGAGCUCCAGGAGGACAGCAGGAGGAGAGGACUCAGGGAACUCACAGGGGAACGCUCAGGUGAUGUGGCAAAUUUCCCAUAAAAGAGUAUUCUCCCGGUCACCUCUCCUUUCCGAGAGACCGUCUCCCUGGGAAGGCCUGGGACAGCCCAGCGCCAUGGUGACAGCAAGGUGGGGGAUGGGGGAGGCAGAGCCAGUGAGGCCCUGUUGCAAUCUGCUGACCCUAUCCCCCUACAAAGAACUUCUCACCACAGACAAUCUGGCCCCAGCAUCACGGCUCCAUUACCUGGAACCCGACAUCCGAGCUACUUCCCAAGGGCCUGGCUCCUGCUCCUCUGACAGCUUCUCUCCACACGAUGUCCGCCCGUCUCCUGGCCCCACUCAAUCCGAGGUCCCUACACCUCAGAGCAGAAGACAGAGCGGGAGGCCCUUUCCAUGGGUGACAGGACCCAGGAGGGGCUGAGUCAACCCUCAGACGCACCCCAGCUCAGACUAUUACUUAUCAACUGCAUUUUUUAUUAAGGUACCAAAACACAAGAUAACGUUCUGGCACAGUGUGUUCAGAAUUUAAAUAAAUAUAACAUAAGACAGGCCCAGGAGAAUUGGGUAUACAAUCAAGAAAGAGGAUGCGGCCAGCCUGGUGGUGCAGCGGUUUUGUGCACGCUUUCUGCUUAGGUGGCCCAGGGUUCGCCGGUUCGGAUCCUGGGUACGGAUGUGGCACCGCUUGUCAAGCCAUGCUGUGCAGUAAUCCCACAUAUAAAGUAGAGGAAGAUGGGCACGGAUGUUAGCUCAGGGCCAGUCUUCCUCAGCAAAAAAAGAGGAGGAUUGGCAGCACUUAGCUCAGGACUAAGCUUCCUCAAAACAAAAAAAAAGAUAGAGGAAAAAAUUAUAAAUGCAUUUUUUUCUUUCUGUUUUAGCAACAGUGCUGCCACAAGCAUUUUUGUAGCUAUACAUUUUGGACACCUUCAAGAUUCCUUCCAGAUCACUUCCAGAGGUGGAAUAGAUAGGUCAUAGGGUACUGGGAAUUUUAAGGCUUAAUUUUCCUCCAAAAAAGGCUUUUCCAGUUAUUGUGCAUUCCUAGAAGUAAUUCGCAAGAAGGCCUGUGCCCAGCAGUGGGUAUUCAUUUGCUGGUCUGUUAGGUAAUAAGGUGAAAUGUUAUCUCAAAUGGUUUUAUUUUUGCUUUGCUUUGAGUAUUAAGGAGGUUGAGGAUUUUCUUCUCUUAUUAACCAUUUGGUCAUUAUUUUGAUUAAUCUACCUGCUGACAUCCUCCAUCUCUCUCUUUGGUGCCCUAUACUUUACAAGCUCUUUGUACAUUAAGGAUAUUUGCCUCUGUUGCCA